GAUGAAGAACGCAGCGAAAUGCGAUAAGUAGUGUGAAUUGCAGAAUUCAAUGAAUCAUCGAAUCUUUGAACGCACAUUGCGCCCCAUGGUAUUCCGUGGGGCAUGCCUGUUCGAGCGUCAUUUACCCCCUCAAGCUCCGCUUGGUGUUGGGCGUCUGUCCCGCUUCGCGCGCGGACUCGCCCCAAAGGUAUUGGCAGCGGUCGUGCCAGCUUCUCGCGCAGCACAUUGCGCUUCUCGAGGCACCGGUGGGCCCGCGUCCAUCAAGCUCACCCCCCCAGUUUGACCUCGGAUCAGGUAGGGAUACCCGCUGAACUUAAGCAUAUCAAUAAGCGGAGGA
RNAcentral lists this unclassified non-coding RNA (337 nucleotides) under soil metagenome. Its description in RNAcentral is "partial contains 5.8S ribosomal RNA, internal transcribed spacer 2, and large subunit ribosomal RNA". The stretch from base 1 to 120 matches the Rfam family "5.8S ribosomal RNA", at positions 35 to 154 of the family's 154-position model. The record is from RNAcentral.